This 920-nucleotide ribosomal RNA is filed under the name Leptotrema wightii. Its description in RNAcentral is "SSU rRNA". It matches the Rfam family "Bacterial small subunit ribosomal RNA", at positions 381 to 1254 of the family's 1533-position model. Lineage: Eukaryota; Fungi; Ascomycota; Lecanoromycetes; Ostropales; Graphidaceae. The record is from RNAcentral.
GGCUGAACCAGCAACUUGGAGGAAUGUAUAGGGAAAACUGGUAAAAUGUGAUGUACCUAGAAGGAUACGGUAAUUUAUAUUAUAUUAACCUUGUCCAUUUUACUUGCCAGUAGAUAUAUGAACACGACAUUAUCUGCUUAUGUCUUGCCCAAGUCACGUGCCAGGGGACCUGGACAGAUUAGCAAGACUAGUGUUGGUCAUCUUUUAUAGGUUUUUAGGGGACCUAGACCGAUUAUUAAGAGGAGAAAUGUACUAAUAGACUACAGUUUAAUGUAAGAAGGAUUGAGUACGGUGAGUGUAGAGAUAAAUUUNGUUGAUACCACUUAGGAACUGGUAAAGGCGAAGGCAACCUUCUAUGUAAAAACUGACGUUAAGGGACGAAGGCUCGAAUUAAAAAAUAGGAUUAGAUACCCUAGUAUUAUGAGCAGAAAAUGAUGAGUGUCAUAUGCAAGAAAUUUUUUGUGUAUAAAUGAAAGUGUAAGCACUCCACCUCAAGAGUAACGUGGCAACAUGGGAACUGAAAUCAAUAGACCGUUUCUGAAACUCGUAGUGAAGUAUGUUGUUUAAUUUGAUAACCCGCAAAUCACCUUACCACAACUUGUAUAACUAUAAGAGAUCGUAAGUAUAGAAAUACAAUAGACCCCCAUUGUAUAGCUAUAUUAUAUAUAUUUAUUGAGAGAUAUAUCAAUAUAACUAUGUAUAGUACAGUAAAUAUAGUUACAAGCGUUGCACGGCUGUCUUCAGUCAAUGUUGUGAAACUUUGGUUAGAUCCAUUAAAUUCACGUAAACCCUUACUUUAUUUAAAAUAAAGUACUUUGCAGAUAUAUUGGUAGUGGGAUAAGGGACCAAGACAAGUGCCCUUAACCUGGUGGUUGUGGGCUAUACACGUNCCACAUUACCAUUAGGAAAAAGAUGCAAAA